Molecule: ribosomal RNA, 253 nt
Filed under: uncultured bacterium
Lineage: Bacteria
Description: partial 16S ribosomal RNA
Rfam family: Bacterial small subunit ribosomal RNA
Source: RNAcentral
UACGAAGGGGGCGAGCGUUGUUCGGAGUUACUGGGCGUAAAGGGCGCGUAGGCGGCGCUCCAAGUUAGGCGUGAAAGCCCCGGGCUCAACCUGGGAAUAGCGCUUAAGACUGGAGUGCUUGAGUGCGGGAGAGGUGAGUGGAAUUCCCAGUGUAGAGGUGAAAUUCGUAGAUAUUGGGAAGAACACCAGUGGCGAAGGCGGCUCACUGGCCCGCAACUGACGCUGAGGCGCGAAAGCGUGGGGAGCAAACAGG